CCUACGGGUGGCAGCAGUAGGGAAUAUUGCUCAAUGGGGGAAACCCUGAUGCAGCAACGCCGCGUGGAUGAUGAAGUUUUUCGGAUUGUAAACUCCUUUUGUUAGAGAAGAUAAUGACGGUAUCUAACGAAUAAGCACCGGCUAACUCCGUGCCAGCAGCCGCGGUAAUACGGAGGGUGCAAGCGUUACCCGGAAUUACUGGGCAUAAAGAGCGCGUAGGCGGUAUAGCAAGUCAGAUGUGAAAUCCUAUGGCUUAACCCUAGAACUGCAUUGGAAACUGUUAUUCUAGAGUAUGGGAGAGGUAGGGGGAAUUCCUGGUGUAGGGGGGAAAUCCGUAGAGAUCAAGAGGAAUACUCAUUGCGAAGGCGACCUGCUAGAAUAUAACUGACGCUGAUGCGCGAAAGCGUGGGGAGCAAACAGGAUUAGAUACCCCAGUAGUC
RNAcentral lists this ribosomal RNA (440 nucleotides) under uncultured bacterium. RNAcentral describes it as "partial 16S ribosomal RNA". It matches the Rfam family "Bacterial small subunit ribosomal RNA", at positions 338 to 795 of the family's 1533-position model. The record is from RNAcentral.